UACGAAGGGUGCUAGCGUUGUUCGGAAUUACUGGGCGUAAAGCGCGCGUAGGCGGCUUUUCAAGUCAGGGGUGAAAUCCCACGGCUCAACCGUGGAAUUGCCUUUGAAACUGUAAAGCUGGAGUGUCGGAGGGGAUAGCGGAAUUCCUAAUGUAGAGGUGAAAUUCGUAGAUAUUAGGAGGAACACCGGUGGCGAAGGCGGCUAUCUGGACGACAACUGACGCUGAGGCGCGAAAGCACGGGGAUCAAACAGG
RNAcentral lists this ribosomal RNA (253 nucleotides) under uncultured prokaryote. RNAcentral describes it as "partial 16S ribosomal RNA". It matches the Rfam family "Bacterial small subunit ribosomal RNA", at positions 524 to 776 of the family's 1533-position model. The record is from RNAcentral.